AUGGCAAAGCUGAAAGAGGAAGAAGAAAAGUUGUUGCAAGGAGCCGAGAAGAGAAAAUCUAAAUUACUAGGUAAAAAAAUAGCUGCUGAGGACAGGAAGAAAGCAAUACUAGAAGAAAAGAGAAUUGCUGCAGAGGAAAAAAGAAAAGCUAGUGAGGAGAAAAAGAAAAAAGCCCAAGAAGAGAAACUUGCAAUGGCAGAGAAGAGAAGGCAAAGCAUGACCGAAAGAAAAAGAAUUGCGGAAAUAGAAAAACAAAGGAAGGCCGAGGAAAAAAAAGACUUGCUGCUGAGAAGAGAAUGA
Molecule: ribosomal RNA, 300 nt
Filed under: Triticum aestivum (bread wheat)
Lineage: Eukaryota; Viridiplantae; Streptophyta; Magnoliopsida; Poales; Poaceae
Description: partial small subunit ribosomal RNA
Source: RNAcentral